Molecule: ribosomal RNA, 403 nt
Filed under: uncultured bacterium
Lineage: Bacteria
Description: bacterial SSU rRNA
Rfam family: Bacterial small subunit ribosomal RNA
Source: RNAcentral
AGGGAAUAUUGGACAAUGGGGGAAACCCUGAUCCAGCAAUGCAGCGUGAGUGACGAAGGCCUUAGGGUUGUAAAACUCUUUCAUCGGUGAGGAUAAUGACAGUAGCCGAAGAAGAAGGACCGGCUAAUUCCGUGCCAGCAGCCGCGGUAAUACGGAAGGUCCUAGCGUUGUUCGGAAUUACUGGGCGUAAAGCGCAUGUAGGCGGAACAGAAAGUUAGAAGUGAAAUCCCUGGGCUCAACCUAGGAAUUGCUUUUAAAACUUCUGUUCUGGAAUUCAGGAGAGGAAAAUGGAAUUUCCAGUGUAGAGGUGAAAUUCGUAGAUAUUGGAAGGAACACCAGUGGCGAAGGCGAUUUUCUGGACUGAUAUUGACGCUGAGAUGCGAAGGCAUGGGUAGCAAACGGG